GUGGCGAACGGGUGAGUAACACGUGAGCAAUCCGCCCUUGACUCUGGGAUAACUGCGGGAAACUGUAGCUAAUACCGGAUACUUUCCUCGCUGGGCAUCCAGCGGGGAAGAAAGAAUUUCGGUCAAGGAUGAGCUCGCGGCCUAUCAGCUAGUUGGUGAGGUAAUGGCUCACCAAGGCGACGACGGGUAGCCGGCCUGAGAGGGUGACCGGCCACACUGGAACUGAGACACGGUCCAGACUCCUACGGGAGGCAGCAGUGGGGAAUAUUGCACAAUGGGCGAAAGCCUGAUGCAGCAACGCCGCGUGAGGGAUGAAGGCCUUCGGGUUGUAAACCUCUUUUAGCAGGGAAGAAGCGAAAGUGACGGUACCUGCAGAAAAAGCACCGGCUAACUACGUGCCAGCAGCCGCGGUAAUACGUAGGGUGCAAGCGUUGUCCGGAAUUAUUGGGCGUAAAGAGCUCGUAGGCGGUUUGUCACGUCUGCUGUGAAAAUCCGAGGCUCAACCUCGGACUUGCAGUGGGUACGGGCAGGCUAGAGUGCGGUAGGGGAGAAGGGAAUUCCUGGUGUAGCGGUGGAACGCGCAGAUAUCAGGAGGAACACCAAUGGCGAAGGCACUUCUCUGGGCCGUAACUGACGCUGAGGAGCGAAAGCGUGGGGAGCGAACAGGAUUAGAUACCCUGGUAGUCCAC
This 689-nucleotide ribosomal RNA is filed under the name uncultured Microbacteriaceae bacterium. RNAcentral describes it as "bacterial SSU rRNA". It matches the Rfam family "Bacterial small subunit ribosomal RNA", at positions 95 to 798 of the family's 1533-position model. Lineage: Bacteria; Bacillati; Actinomycetota; Actinomycetes; Micrococcales; Microbacteriaceae. The record is from RNAcentral.